UCUUCCGUAGUAUAGUGGUCAGUAUGUGAGCUUGUCAAUGAGGCAAGUCCCCAUAACAACGCUCGAGACCCGGGUUCAAUUCCCGGCGGGAGAG
This is a non-coding RNA of Dichotomopilus funicola, 94 nucleotides long. Lineage: Eukaryota; Fungi; Ascomycota; Sordariomycetes; Sordariales; Chaetomiaceae. The record is from the annotation of a RefSeq genome assembly.